This is a long non-coding RNA of Dama dama (fallow deer), 1332 nucleotides long. RefSeq lists it as uncharacterized. Lineage: Eukaryota; Metazoa; Chordata; Mammalia; Artiodactyla; Cervidae. The record is from RefSeq and is a predicted model, not a curated record. The transcript is spliced from 3 exons.
CCAGAUCUCAAGGGAGCUAACUAGGUCUACGAACCCCAGUCUGACCCCUUCAGCCGACAGGAGAGCAACUGCCCCCGGAUCCCGGAUCGCAGCUCCCUACCUCCGGUGGACGUCCAUCCGUCCUGUGGGGAAACUAAGGCCAACCUAGACAGGAUAUUAAAAAGCAGAGACAUUACUUUGCCAACAAAGGUCCAUCUAGUCAAAGCUAUGGUUUUUCCAGUAGUCACGUAUGGAUGUGAGAGUUGGACUAUAAAGAAAGCUGAGCCCCGAAGAAUUGAUGUUUCUGAACUGUGGUGUUGGAGAAGACUCUUUUGAGAGUCCCUUGGACUGCAAGGAGAUCCAACCAGUCCAUCCUAAAGGAAAUCAGUCCUGAAUAUUCAUUGGAAGGACUGAUGCUGAAGCUGAAACUCCAAUACUUUGGCCACCUGAUGCGAAGAGCUGACUCAUUGGAAAAGACCCUGAUGCUGGGAAAGAUUGAAGGCGGCAGGAGAAGGGGACGACAGAGAAUGAUGGCAUCACCAACUCAAUGGACAUGAGUUUUGAGUAAGCUCCGGGAGUUGGUGAUGGACAGGGGAGCCUGGCUUGCUGCAGUCCAUGCGGUCACAAAGAGUUGGACACGACUGAGUGACUGAACUGAACCGAACUGAAACUAAAUCCUAGAGAGUUAAAUAUUUGCUAAAGGCCAAACAACUAACUUAAUAGAAGUCCAGUUUUUUUCCACUUAAUACUCCCUUUCACAUGUUCGCCUCAGGUAUGCAGACCUUCAUCUGAAGAUUUUCAUGCAUCAGAAAAAAGUCAGAAGUGGUCAGGAUGGCGUUUCUGCCUGUUCCAAAUAGAGAUUUUGUGACUAAGAAGUAAAUAUCUGCAAGUUCACCCCAAUUUGAAGAAAAUGAGUUACGUAACAAAAUACAGGAAGUGAAAACUAGAGGGAAGUUACAUUCCUCUAAAGCUUACAUAACCGAACAGAUGCUGUGAAGUUAGUGAUGUGAAAAAUCUUCUACAAGCCUGGUUACACUUCACUGAAAUAUCUUGAGUUGCUUCAUCUUUCUGAUGAGUAGAAGUGGAUGAUAGUGGCAAGCUCACUGCUUUCUUUUUCAAUAACUCUCAGUGAACUGACGGGAAUUUGCAAAAACAAUGACUUUAGGUACAUGACAAAUUUAUCAUUUAAAGCCAUUACUUUGAUCAUUUUCUAAUAUAGUAGAAAUGAGCUGAUAAAGAGGAAGGAAGAUUUAUGAGUAAAAGUUUCAUGAAAUGAUGCCUUUACUUUGUAGGGGAGAAAUGUUAUGAUUAAAUAUAAUUUCACUAAUAUUUAAAUGCAGCAUAGAAAAAUAA